Long non-coding RNA from Mercurialis annua (annual mercury), 2773 nucleotides. RefSeq lists it as uncharacterized. Lineage: Eukaryota; Viridiplantae; Streptophyta; Magnoliopsida; Malpighiales; Euphorbiaceae. The transcript is spliced from 4 exons. The record is from RefSeq and is a predicted model, not a curated record.
GAAAUUAAAUAAAUUAUAGACGGGAAUUAAUAUUUAUAAAAAUAAUAUCGAUAAAAUGGGUAUCGAUAAUUACUAAAAUGGAAAUUAGACGAAAAAUUGAGGAAAAGUGCAAGUUAGCUUAAAAGUGGAAUUUGAGCGUUUUUGGCCAAAAUUGCCAAAAUAAAUCAUCAGAAGAUGAAAUUCUAAGAUAUGGGACUAAUAUUAUUUAUUUGAAAAUAAAUAAUAUGAAAUUUAUCGGAUUUAAAAGAUUUAGCGUUCGAUAGGUAAAAUUUAGCAAUUUUUAAGUUAGAAUUGCGAAAGGUUUAAGUCAAUUUCUUUGAGGAUUAAAGAGGGACUUUUACCUUAAUUAUAAAAGGGUAAGGGAAUGAUUUUAAACUCAGCAAACCAUUUAUUCUCAGCUGAAGCAAAUCAGCCAUGGUCACCUUCAUCAACAUUCAACAUGUAGAAAAUUUCCUAAGGCCAUAUCUUUUUCGAUUUAAGUCCGAUUGAGGCGAUUCUUGCGGCAACGGAACGAGUAAAGGAUCCUCUACCAAUCUAUCUCAUCAAUUUAAGCUUAUAGAUUCUUCGUUUCAUAUCGGAAUUGGACGAUUCUUGCGGCUACGGAACGGGGACGGAAAACUCUACACAUAUGUCCCAGAAAAUUGAGACGCAUCGAUGGACUUCGAAAGUGACAUGUUUGGCUUAGUGGGGUUCGACUAUUAUUUUAAUAUCAUGAUUUGGAUAGCGAAUUCUUGUUUUCUUUCAGGUUUAUUAUGUGGUGAUGUGGUCGAGUUCCAUCCAUUGUUCUGGAAGUCUCAGUUAUGAAAGUUUCUAUCCUUCUUAGAGCUGCAGUAGUUAUAUUAGUAGAUUAAUUCGAUAGUUGACAGUUUAUGUUUUUCAUGUGCUGUGGCAUAGAGAUGUAUUUUCGGAAAUUGGUUUAUCCACACGUUUUGUAUUAAUUACAUGAUAUUUUGCACAAGGCGGUUUGUGUUUUUAACAGGUGCCAGUAGCACAAUUUUCAAACGUUAUAUUGUCGAUUUUUUUUUUUAAAAUUUAAGAUUGUUGUUUUGCGAAAAAUUUAUAGUGAAUUUCAGGCUUGCUACGGGAUUUGGAACUACAAUUCCCAUUCCCUAGCGCCGGUCGCGGCCCUCGAUUUUGGAUCGUGACAUAUGUACAUCGAAAUCAAAAUCAUUUGUUAGGUAUUUAAUUAUAGAUUUUAUCAACAAAUAAUAAUAUAGUAAAAUAAAUAAAUAACACAAGAGAUUUACGUGGUUCGGCAUUAAAACGGUACAUCCACGGGCGAAAAAAUCGAGUUAUCCACUAAUCAUCAAAAUGAGUACAAGAUUGGUGGAGAAUCACCAAAAUAGAGAACAUCUCUAGUAAAUAUGCCCUUAGAUGAAAAAACUCAUAAAAUGUUUAACUCUCUAUAAGAAGUAACCCAAAAGAAUUGAGAUUAACUUAUAUUCCAAACAACGCACCCAACCCUUUUUCCUUUAUUCACAUCAAUGUCUAUAUUAUGUGUUCGGUUUUUUUCUACCAUACUAAAAGAUGAAAAAGGUAUGAUAUUUACAGUGUGUAAAUAAUCUAUAUGGCAUUAGGAGUAUUAAUCCUAGUUUGAUUAUACUUUCGAAUUAUCCAAAGAUAACAAAGUUAUCCUUUAUCCAGAUACUCCACAAUAGAAUCCUAAUACAAAUUAGAAUUAGAAUUUUAAACAUAUUCCAACACCCUUAUUCUUUUUGUGCUUGACAAAUUGGGGAGAUGUCUCUGGCUUAUAUUGUUAAUCAUUUUUCGAAAAUUUCUUGCUUAUGCCUUAAAUUAUUUUUUUAUCUUAUGUGCAUAAAGUGAGGGGAAGUCAAAAUCAAUUUGUCUCAUACUUAACUUAGUCAUUUUAGUAUGUUGAUUGUCAAACUCAAAAAGGGGAAGAACGUUGGACCUUUAUCUUUUUAUACUCCUUGAUUUUGACUUUGACAAUCAAUUAUGAGUAUUUUAAUAUAUUUUUAUAAGUAUGUACGAACCCAUAGGAACAAUCGAGAGUCAAUUUGGAGCCUUCUAGCGAGAAUCGAGUUUUCAAGAUUUCAAGAUUUCUAGAGGAUUUUCGGACCCGCAAAAAUCAUCAUUCAAGAGCACGACCUAGACCUCGCAGGCGCGAGCCAAUGUUGUCACAAGAGCGACCCACGUCAGACGUGAAACCCUAACUUCUGAAGGUUUGUAAUGGGCUCGAAGAACAUGUCACGGGCGCGAUCUUGAUGACUGUUGGAUGCCUAACUGAUAUAUUUGAAGACCCCCCCCCCCCUAUUAAGUGGCGACAUAUGACACUAGCCGUUGGAGUUUUUGAUGAAUGACAGAAGUCACGGGUGCGACUCCCUUGGUAGCGGACGUGACAUACCACCUGACAAUAAAAGUUGUUUUGUUUGUUUGUGCUUUGCUUGUAGUUUGUAAUGGGUAUAAUUACAAACCUAUUUGCAAUGUUUUAAGGUUAAUGAUGUACAAAUCCUGAAACAACAAACCUAUCAUCUUUAAAUUACUUUUUUUUCCUGUAGUUUUGUAGUAAGUUUGUAAACUUCUAAAUCAUUGUAAGUUACAGUUUAGUUUUGAGAAAACUCAACUUUUGUAAGUUAGAGAUUAGUUUUGAAAAAUCUCAUAGUUGAUGUUUAGCUAUAAAACACUAAGUUUGGAGUUAGCUUAGAAAACUCUUUGUGAAUCUCAUUUAGUGGAUUUUAAAUUUUAAUCUUUGAUAGAGUAGUGGAGUAGGAUCGACUUGUGAUCCGAACCACUCUAAAUUUCUUGUGUCAAA